UAUAUAUAUAUAUUAACUCCCUCCAUCUUUUAAUAAAUCAUGUAUUACAUAAAAUGGACCAUGCUGAAAUGUGACAAUCAUUUAGGGCUAAAAAAUGAUCAGGAACGUUGUUGAAAAUAAACUUAAACCACUCUUUCCUAAGACGUCAGUGACUCCCAAUAGGUGAAAAUGGCGUCUGUCUGGAAUCAAAAAGCUGCAGUUCAAAACUAGUCAUUUUUGCAGCUUGGUUUCAAUUAUCUUUUUGGAUUGGGGAGGAAGUUUUGAGUUUUGAAAAUUACAGCAAUACACCAAUCUCUUUAUCUCAGUGAUAAAGGAACAUUUUUGAUUCCUCGAAUAUGACCCCUAUAAAACCAUCAACCAGUGAAAAGGACUGACACAUUUAAUUUAUAACACUAUAUAUAUAUAUCAAUGGCGUAGAUUUGGUUUGAACAUUGAGGGGGAUCAAAUGUGUGUGUGGGUGGGUGGGUGGGUGUGUGUGUGUGUGUGUGUGUGGGGGGGGGGGUUGGGUGUAGUUUAUUCAAUGUAGGGAUGCCGCGGUGUGAGUUUUUGACGAUUAGAUUACCGUCUGAGAAAAAAAUCGUUGUUAUCCGGUUUUACAGUUAUUUGCACAUUUUCUUUUAUGCAACAGCACUGAUGCAAAAAAUGCAUAUUGCAUAACAAUUGUGUAAACGUCUAAGUGGAUGCAUUUCUGGGGUAUAUGUGGACGCUAAGGGAAACCCUAAAAAAGGAGGUAGAGACGCUCCAAUCUAGGGCACAACACGGCUUAUGUGCAUACCAAACUCAGUGAUUUGCUUAAGUAAACAGAGUGCUUCAAAAGUGCAUAAAUGUAAGAUUAUUGUGGGUGCGCAACAUGUAGUUCACGGCAUUAAACAGUUUUUGUCUUCUGCAUCAGUUUAUUAAAGCAAACCAUUAUCUGCCAGACACCCCAACAUAAAGAAUCAGCAACAGACUCUAAAUACUCUCCACAACACCUUACAAAUAAACCUUUGGACUAUGAAUAAUAACGAGAACAUUGCUUACAGCUGGCAAUUUAAAGUCCGAUCAUGACUAAAAUGGACAUUUAUUGUUGAAUGCGGUGAAUUUACAGAAGCAAUGCUUUAAAUAAUGAGGACGAUUUAAGACACAACUUUUCAAAGUUUACUCGCUGAUAGCACGCAAAUGCACCGCGCGCUGUCUGCACCUUUAAACAUUACAAAAAGUGGCAUCUUUAAUUCAUCACUUUAAAAUCAACACUAGUGGUCGACCGAUAUGGAUUUUUAAUGGCCGAUGCCGAUAUACAGAGAGCAGGGUGGCCGAUAGGCCGAUACAAUGCUGAUAUAUAACACAAUGAUGAUUAUAGUAAAUAAUCAUAAAAUAUUUGUACUUUAUUUGCACAUGAAGAAAUUGUUAAUAUAUUAGAAAGAAGGACAAAACAGUACACACAAGUCUAGUUGGCAAUCGCAUUUUCUCAAAAACUACCCUAUCAAACCAACUGUACAUACAGUGCAUAGUGAAUAAGAUAUUUACUUACAGCACACGUGAAGCGCUUUUACUCUGAAGUUGCACCAGAGCAAAUUUAGCAGAGAUGGGCCACUUCUAUUAAAAUGAAUGGGAAAAAUUAGAACGCCCAACUGCAGCCAACGGUCAACGGAUGUAAAUAGGAAGUCCCGCCUUACAGGUAAAAGAGCCAAUCACCUUUUAGAUACAGACAUCACCCGCGCCUAAGCUAUUAGCUAUAAAAAUGUAAUCUGAGAUAAAUGAACACAAUUCAUGAUACCAGUGUUGUCAGAUUUUACUGCUGAUUUGAAAUAUGUUCUUUGAUCGUAAUCUUGACCAACCGUUUUGGAGAUUUUACUCUUUCUCCAUUCAAGUAAAUAGGAGCUGCACUUUCAUGACUUUCAUGUCUCCCGAGAGCGUUCCAAACAUGGCCGACAGUGGCCUGACUUGCUAGAAAGACUUUGGUCGCACUCACGCGCUCGUGCGUAUCCAGCUCGAGCCUCAAUCUCCUGACAGUUAAAACGGUCUAGAUCGCCUGCUUGGAUUGUCGUCAGGAUUUAUGAAUCAGAGGAACUUUUGAUCCUGAUCCUGAAGUUUUGAUUCUGGCUGAUGGAAUAUGCGCUUCAGAGGAAGAUAUUAGAUGAGCGCUCGACGGGAAGAAACCACUGGAUUUUCGUGAGUGUGUCAGUAAACCAGUCACUGCAAAGAAGUUCAGCAGGAUAAGAGUCAAAUUCUUCCAAAUAUUCAACCACACAAGCAAGACAAACUUGGAGUCACAAUUCACUUUCAUUAUAUGGUGAAAAGCUGUGGAAGAUUUUUCUUACCUGUCCUUUGUGUUCCCUGAAAAAGUCAUACAAGUUUGGAACGAAUGACAUUAGGGCUACAUCAAAAAUAAAUUCAACACUGAAGUGAUGCUAAUCAAGAAAGCCAUCUCCCAUGUGAAUGAAUGCAAGCUGUCCAAGAGUCACCAGAAUUAACGUGCGUCAGAAUUGAGCUUUUUAUAAUUUGUGCAACAUUGUAUUUUACACUGUUAUGCAAUGUAGUGCAUUUAUUUAUGCAUGCUCUUUAUAGUUCUCUUUUUGUUGAAAGCCUGUAAUGAAUAAAGUAGUAAAAUUAUAGUAAGUAAUAAAAGUUUAAAAAAGUAAUGAAAAUUGAAAGGAUAAAGUAAUGACAAUAA
Long non-coding RNA from Myxocyprinus asiaticus (Chinese sucker), 2653 nucleotides. RefSeq lists it as uncharacterized. NCBI's taxonomy places the organism in Eukaryota, Metazoa, Chordata, Actinopteri, Cypriniformes, Catostomidae. The record is from RefSeq and is a predicted model, not a curated record. The transcript is spliced from 4 exons.